RNAcentral lists this ribosomal RNA (471 nucleotides) under Triticum aestivum (bread wheat). Its description in RNAcentral is "partial small subunit ribosomal RNA". Lineage: Eukaryota; Viridiplantae; Streptophyta; Magnoliopsida; Poales; Poaceae. The record is from RNAcentral.
AUGAGACGAUCUUUUGUUUGGUUGCAACAAAUUCUGUCGCUUCUAUUUGUCUCAGAAACCCCCUGCCUCUCUGCUCAUGUUUCUCUCUCUGCCCCCGCCGCCCCAAGAAAAGCAUCUCGGGUGAGGAGGCGGCGAGGGUUUGGGCCUCCUGCUCCGACCUCGGCGGCGCCGACGAGCUCGCGCCCAAGAUUCCUCAUCGGCGCAGGUGGUAAAUUUUGUGCUCAGCCAAGCAAGAAGGCACAAGGUUAUACCAAUACAGUCAUUGUGCAGAAAAAAGGAAGACCAUGUAGUGUGGGGAAUCAUUCAUAUCUGCAAUGGGUACAAAAAGGGUCAUGCAUGGGUGAGCUAGACAAACAACGUGGAUCCCUAUUUCCGUUGAGAAUGUGUGGUGCGGCUCAUGCAGUCAUGCUGCUAGGUGUUCUUUAUUUGCUAUCGGAUCUAAGGAUAAUAGGGGCUCUACCUCACAUAUAA